Molecule: ribosomal RNA, 572 nt
Filed under: uncultured fungus
Lineage: Eukaryota; Fungi
Description: eukaryotic LSU rRNA
Rfam family: 5.8S ribosomal RNA (bases 215-368)
Source: RNAcentral
UUUAGAGGAAGUAAAAGUCGUAACAAGGUCUCCGUAGGUGAACCUGCGGAGGGAUCAUUACAAGUGACCCCGGUUACCACCGGGAUGUUCAUAACCCUUUGUUGUCCGACUCUGUUGCCUCCGGGGCGACCCUGCCUUCGGGCGGGGGCUCCGGGUGGACACUUCAAACUCUUGCGUAACUUUGCAGUCUGAGUAAACUUAAUUAAUAAAUUAAAACUUUUAACAACGGAUCUCUUGGUUCUGGCAUCGAUGAAGAACGCAGCGAAAUGCGAUAAGUAAUGUGAAUUGCAGAAUUCAGUGAAUCAUCGAAUCUUUGAACGCACAUUGCGCCCCCUGGUAUUCCGGGGGGCAUGCCUGUUCGAGCGUCAUUUCACCACUCAAGCCUCGCUUGGUAUUGGGCAACGCGGUCCGCCGCGUGCCUCAAAUCGACCGGCUGGGUCUUCUGUCCCCUAAGCGUUGUGGAAACUAUUCGCUAAAGGGUGCUCGGGAGGCUACGCCGUAAAACAACCCCAUUUCUAAGGUUGACCUCGGAUCAGGUAGGGAUACCCGCUGAACUUAAGCAUAUCAAUAAG